This 263-nucleotide long non-coding RNA is filed under the name Apteryx owenii (little spotted kiwi). Its description in RNAcentral is "lncRNA (ENSAOWG00000015511.1)". Lineage: Eukaryota; Metazoa; Chordata; Aves; Apterygiformes; Apterygidae. The record is from RNAcentral.
CCGGGGCCGAGGCUGGCGGGGGGCGGCGCUGCCAACACUCAAGCGCAGCUGAUCCCGUUUCAAAACCUGACGGUGACCUAUGAGCAGCUGCCUCAAAACCCGGGGAAAUGAGAAAACAAAGCAGAGCUGUAGCUCUUCUCUAAGCAGGGGAAGGAAGAGACUCAGACUUUUUCCAAAGAACCCAGAAGACUUCAGAAGACUGAAGGAGCAUUCCUGAUGUCCCCUGGAUACAGCCAUAAUCUUCCUUCAAGAGAAAUACAAAA